This 253-nucleotide ribosomal RNA is filed under the name uncultured bacterium. Its description in RNAcentral is "partial 16S ribosomal RNA". It matches the Rfam family "Bacterial small subunit ribosomal RNA", at positions 524 to 776 of the family's 1533-position model. The record is from RNAcentral.
UACAGAGGGGGCAAGCGUUGUUCGGAAUUACUGGGCGUAAAGUGUGCGCAGGCGGCCGAGCAAGUCGAGUGUGAAAGCCCCGAGCUUAACUUGGGAACUGCGCUCGAAACUACUUGGCUAGAGUGUGGCAGAGGGAGGUGGAAUUCCACGUGUAGCAGUGAAAUGCGUAGAGAUGUGGAGGAACACCGAUGGCGAAGGCAGCCCCCUGGGCUAACACUGACGCUCAUGCACGAAAGCGUGGGGAGCAAACAGG